CCUACGGGAGGCAGCAGUAGGGAAUCUUCCACAAUGGGCGAAAGCCUGAUGGAGCAACGCCGCGUGGGUGAAGAAGGUCUUCGGAUCGUAAAACCCUGUUGUUAGAGAAGAAAGUGCGUGAGAGUAACUGUUCACGUUUCGACGGUAUCUAACCAGAAAGCCAUGGCUAACUACGUGCCAGCAGCCGCGGUAAUACGUAGGUGGCAAGCGUUAUCCGGAUUUAUUGGGCGUAAAGGGAACGCAGGCGGUCUUUUAAGUCUGAUGUGAAAGCCUUCGGCUUAACCGGAGUAGUGCAUUGGAAACUGGGAGACUUGAGUGCAGAAGAGGAGAGUGGAACUCCAAGUGUAGCGGUGAAAUGCGUAGAUAUAAGGAAGAACACCAGUGGCGAAAGCGGCUUUCUGGUCUGUAACUGACGCUGAGGUUCGAAAGCGUGGGUAGCAAACAGGAUUAGAUACCCCUGUAGUC
RNAcentral lists this ribosomal RNA (465 nucleotides) under uncultured bacterium. RNAcentral's name for it is "partial 16S ribosomal RNA". It matches the Rfam family "Bacterial small subunit ribosomal RNA", at positions 338 to 795 of the family's 1533-position model. The record is from RNAcentral.